RNAcentral lists this ribosomal RNA (998 nucleotides) under uncultured bacterium. RNAcentral's name for it is "bacterial SSU rRNA". It matches the Rfam family "Bacterial small subunit ribosomal RNA", at positions 356 to 1376 of the family's 1533-position model. The record is from RNAcentral.
GGGGGAUAUUGCGCAAUGGGGGAAACCCUGACGCAGCAACGCCGCGUGAAGGAUGAAGGUCUUCGGAUUGUAAACUUCUUUUAUUAAGGACGAAGAAAGUGACGGUACUUAAUGAAUAAGCUCCGGCUAACUACGUGCCAGCAGCCGCGGUAAUACGUAGGGAGCAAGCGUUGUCCGGAUUUACUGGGUGUAAAGGGUGCGUAGGCGGCUUUGCAAGUCAGAUGUGAAAUCUAUGGGCUCAACCCAUAGCCUGCAUUUGAAACUGCAGAGCUUGAGUGAAGUAGAGGUAAGCGGAAUUCCUGGUGUAGCGGUGAAAUGCGUAGAGAUCAGGAGGAACAUCGGUGGCGAAGGCGGCUUACUGGGCUUUUACUGACGCUGAGGCUCGAAAGCGUGGGGAGCAAACAGGAUUAGAUACCCUGGUAGUCCACGCUGUAAACGAUGAUUACUAGGUGUGGGGGGAUUGACCCCUUCCGUGCCGCAGUUAACACAAUAAGUAAUCCACCUGGGGAGUACGACCGCAAGGUUGAAACUCAAAGGAAUUGACGGGGGCCCGCACAAGCAGUGGAGUAUGUGGUUUAAUUCGAAGCAACGCGAAGAACCUUACCAGGUCUUGACAUCGAGUGACGUAUCCAGAGAUGGAUAUUUCCUUCGGGACACAAAGACAGGUGGUGCAUGGUUGUCGUCAGCUCGUGUCGUGAGAUGUUGGGUUAAGUCCCGCAACGAGCGCAACCCUUAUCAUUAGUUGCUACGCAAGAGCACUCUAAUGAGACUGCCGUUGACAAAACGGAGGAAGGUGGGGAUGACGUCAAAUCAUCAUGCCCCUUAUGACCUGGGCUACACACGUACUACAAUGGCGAUCGAACAGAGGGAAGCAAGACAGCGAUGUGGAGCCAAUCCCAAAAAAUCGCCCCAGUUCAGAUUGCAGGCUGCAACUCGCCUGCAUGAAGUCGGAAUUGCUAGUAAUCGCAGAUCAGCAUGCUGCGGUGAAUACGUUCCCG